Molecule: ribosomal RNA, 408 nt
Filed under: uncultured bacterium
Lineage: Bacteria
Description: partial 16S ribosomal RNA
Rfam family: Bacterial small subunit ribosomal RNA
Source: RNAcentral
GACGAACGCUGGCGGCGUGCUUAACACAUGCAAGUCGAACGGAGUGGCGAACGGGUGAGUAACACGUGGGUGACCUGCCCUGCACUUCGGGAUAAGCCUGGGAAACUGGGUCUAAUACCGGAUAGUGUGGGAUGGGCCCGCGGCCUAUCAGCUUGUUGGUGGGGUAAUGGCCUACCAAGGCGGCGACGGGUAGCCGGCCUGAGAGGGUGGAAGGCCACAUGGGGACUGAGACAGGGCCCAGACGCCUACGUGGGGCAGCGGGGGGGAAUAUUGCACAAUCGUGGGAAGCGUGUUGCAGCGACGCCAGGUGGGGGAUGACGGCCUUGGGGGGGGAAACUCCUUUCACCAUCGACGCGGUAGAUGGAGAAGAAGCACCGGCUAACUACGUGCCAGCAGCCGCGGUAAUAC